AACGUAGGACACAAGCGUUAUUCGGAUUCACUGGGCGUAAAGGGUGCGCAGGCGGCCAAGUGUGUUAGGCGUGAAAGCCUGGGGCUUAACCCCAGAAUUGCACCUAAAACUACAUGGCUAGAGCAUUGGAGAGGGUAGCGGAAUUCACGGUGUAGCAGUGAAAUGCGUAGAUAUCGUGAGGAACACCAGAGGCGAAGGCGGCUACCUGGACAAUUGCUGACGCUCAGGCACGAAAGCGUGGGGAGCAAAAGGG
RNAcentral lists this ribosomal RNA (253 nucleotides) under uncultured bacterium. RNAcentral's name for it is "partial 16S ribosomal RNA". It matches the Rfam family "Bacterial small subunit ribosomal RNA", at positions 524 to 776 of the family's 1533-position model. The record is from RNAcentral.